UCGAGAGGCUUCGGCAAUGGGCGCAAGCCUGACGACGCAACGCCGCGUGGAGGAUGAAGACCUUCGGGUCGUAAACUCCUUUCGAUCGAGACGAAUGGCCUCCGGGUGAACAAUCCGGAGGAGUGACGGUACCGAGAGAAGAAGCCCCGGCUAACUCCGUGCCAGCAGCCGCGGUAAUACGGAGGGUGCAAGCGUUGUUCGGAAUUACUGGGCGUAAAGCGCGUGUAGGUGGUCGAGUAAGUCGAAUGUGAAAGCCCCGGGCUCAACCCGGGAAGUGCAUCCGAAACUGCUCGACUAGAGUCCCGGAGAGGAAGGCAGAAUUCCCAAUGUAGGGGUGAAAUCCGUAGAUAUUGGGAGGAACACCGGUGGCGAAGGCGACAUCCUGGACCAAUUCUGACGCUGAGGAGCGAAAGCCAGGGGAGCAAACGGGAUUAGAUACCCCCGUAGUCCCUGAGCGGGCUGGCAAGGCGCAU
Molecule: ribosomal RNA, 473 nt
Filed under: uncultured bacterium
Lineage: Bacteria
Description: bacterial SSU rRNA
Rfam family: Bacterial small subunit ribosomal RNA
Source: RNAcentral